RNAcentral lists this ribosomal RNA (568 nucleotides) under uncultured bacterium. Its description in RNAcentral is "bacterial SSU rRNA". It matches the Rfam family "Bacterial small subunit ribosomal RNA", at positions 917 to 1482 of the family's 1533-position model. The record is from RNAcentral.
GGACCCGCACAAGCGGUGGAGCAUGUGGUUUAAUUCGAAGCAACGCGAAGAACCUUACCAGGUCUUGACAUCCCACUGACCGGCUUAGAGAUAGGCUUUUCCCUUCGGGGACAGUGGUGACAGGUGGUGCAUGGUUGUCGUCAGCUCGUGUCGUGAGAUGUUGGGUUAAGUCCCGCAACGAGCGCAACCCUUGAUCUUAGUUGCCAGCAUUCAGUUGGGCACUCUAAGGUGACUGCCGGUGAUAAACCGGAGGAAGGUGGGGAUGACGUCAAAUCAUCAUGCCCCUUAUGACCUGGGCUACACACGUGCUACAAUGGACGAUACAAAGGGCUGCAAACCCGCGAGGGGGAGCCAAUCCCAUAAAAUCGUUCUCAGUUCGGAUUGUAGGCUGCAACUCGCCUACAUGAAGCCGGAAUCGCUAGUAAUCGUGGAUCAGCAUGCCACGGUGAAUACGUUCCCGGGCCUUGUACACACCGCCCGUCACACCACGAGAGUUUGUAACACCCGAAGUCGGUGAGGUAACCUUUACAGGAGCCAGCCGCCGAAGGUGGGACAGAUGAUUGGGGUG